CACGUAGGGUGCGAGCGUUGUCCGGAAUUAUUGGGCGUAAAGAGCUCGUAGGCGGUGUGUCGCGUCGGCCGUGAAAACUUGCAGCUUAACUGUGGGCGUGCGGUCGAUACGGGCAUCACUGGAGUUCGGCAGGGGAGACUGGAAUUCCUGGUGUAGCGGUGAAAUGCGCAGAUAUCAGGAGGAACACCGGUGGCGAAGGCGGGUCUCUGGGCAUUACCUGACGCUGAGGAGCGAAAGUGUGGGGAGCGAACAGG
Molecule: ribosomal RNA, 254 nt
Filed under: uncultured bacterium
Lineage: Bacteria
Description: partial 16S ribosomal RNA
Rfam family: Bacterial small subunit ribosomal RNA
Source: RNAcentral